Molecule: long non-coding RNA, 325 nt
Organism: Mustela erminea (ermine)
Lineage: Eukaryota; Metazoa; Chordata; Mammalia; Carnivora; Mustelidae
Exons: 5
Source: RefSeq, a predicted model, not a curated record
ACAAGACCUACGCCAUCAUGGACGUCACCUUCCACAAAGAAGGAGCGGCCCAGAGGGCCCUGAAGCUUUACAGCCGCACCCUGGAAAUCAAGGAGGACAUCAUGAAGAGGUUCUAUGAGGUGGCCAGGGAGUCCGGGCUCUCGGAAAAGGACGUACACCUUCUCACGUGGGACACGGCCUGCGUGAGUUUGCUGCACAGGGGAGAUGCGCCGAGCUCCUGAAGGAGGAGCUGAUCUAGAGGAGCCCUGGGCCAGGCCGGGAUGCUCCGAGCCCCGUCCCUCUGGCCUGUCCUGGCCCCGGGGGGCUGCUGGCCCUUGCUCUGAAU